Molecule: ribosomal RNA, 406 nt
Filed under: uncultured bacterium
Lineage: Bacteria
Description: partial 16S ribosomal RNA
Rfam family: Bacterial small subunit ribosomal RNA
Source: RNAcentral
AUUGAACGCUGGCGGCAGGCCUAACACAUGCAAGUCGGGCGAGCGGAGGACGGGUGAGUAAUGUAUGGGGAUCUGCCUGAUGGAGGGGGAUAACUACUGGAAACGGUAGCUAAUACCGCAUACCAUCAGAUGAACCCAUAUUGGAUUAUCUUGUAGGCGAGGUAACGGCUCACCUAGGCGCCGAUCCCUAGCUGGUCUGAGAGGAUGAUCAGCCACACUGGGACUGAGGCACGGCCCAGACUCCUGCGGGAGGCAGCAGUGGGGAAUAUUGCACAAUGGGCGAAAGCCGGAUGCAGCCAUGCCGCGUGUAUGAAGAAGGCCUUAGGGUUGUAAAGUACUUUCAGCUGGGAGGCGUUACCCGCAGAAGAAGCACCGGCUAACUCCGUGCCAGCAGCCGCGGUAAUUC